AGUGGCCCAAGAAAAGUGUCCGAUAGACCUAUUCAGAUCGCAGCCGAAAAGACAGCUAACGAUUAGCGGGCCGCAGAUGGGCGAUCAGGUUACGUCGCGACGGAGGGGCCAGUUGGAUAACUCCCUCGGGCAGAUAACGUCGGUGGUCCAGUCGUGAAGACCCGAUGGGGCUCCGCAUCGGCAGUAAAACGGGUCAGGAUAGAGAAGAUGAGUAUACACUUCCCUGUUGCGUCUUGGUCCUCCACACACGACAAUCGUUACAGAACUACCCACCACAACCGGACCAAGCAACAGAAGAGGAAGCAGCCAAGGAAGCAGGAGGACUACAGGGAAUCGUGGUCAUGGGAGGAAAUCCUGGCGGGAGAAGGUCCGUGGCGAAGGAACGGUGAGGACCGGGAGAAGUACGUUGGCACGAGGCUAGCAAGGAAGCCUGAGAGGCAGCCCCAAUAAAUGUUUUUGGGGGGCACACGGGGUGGGUGGCUGGGCAAAGGAUGCCCCUGAAGCCAACACCUCGUGCUUAUUAUGGGGAGCACAUGGAGUGGAGAGCGCCGAAGUACGAAGAGGUACGCAAGAUCUCGCCCAUGCGCAUGCACAGUCCGGUGCGUGUGAUCUCAGCCCCAAGCAAAGGCCGUGCUAGAGUGGGCAUCCAGCCUGGAAGGAGGAUGCCAGCCCAAUAAGUCUGGCCACCGGUACGCCUCCGAAGUCCAGGCUACAGGACACCUCCUCUACGCACGGCGACCAUCAGGCCCCUGCAUAGCCCAGUCCGCCCUGUACCAGCACCCCGAAUGUACAGGGCUACUACUGCCAUCCAGCCAGGAUGGGUUGUGCAGAAGGUGAGCUCGAGACUUCCAGUACUCACCCAAGGCCCGGUGUAUCCUAUUCCUGCGCCACGCACAAGCCUACAGGUGCGUGUAUCCAGUCUGGCUCUUCCGAAGCCAGCACCGCGCACCAGGCAUCCCGAGCAGCAGCCUAGUCCAGCUCGACCUAUCCCUGCUCCCCGCACAAGCCUACAGGUGCGUGUCUCUAGUCUGACUCCCCCGAAGCCAGCACCACGCACCAGGCUCCCAGUGCGGCAGCCUAGUCCAACUCGUCCUACUCUUGCCCCUAGCACUAGCCCUGAGGUACGUGGGCCUAGUCCGGCCUCCCCUACGCCAGCCCCACGUACCAGGCCUUCAGUGCAUGCGCCUCGCCCAGAUGGCACAGCGACAGCGUCUCGCCCAGAGUGCCCAGCGCCUAACCCAGAGUGCCCGACGACAGUGCCUCAGCCCGAGUGUCCGGCACCUAUGCCCGAGAGAGAGUCGCCCUCCAGUCCGACGCAGCCAGAGUCGCCCGUAGCGAGGAUCCGUCCCGCUCCAGAGCCACCUCCGUAGGGACUAGUAUGCGGG
This 1385-nucleotide long non-coding RNA is filed under the name Salmo salar (Atlantic salmon). RNAcentral's name for it is "lncRNA (ENSSSAG00000112770.1)". The record is from RNAcentral. Lineage: Eukaryota; Metazoa; Chordata; Actinopteri; Salmoniformes; Salmonidae.